This 1418-nucleotide long non-coding RNA is filed under the name Sus scrofa (pig). Its description in RNAcentral is "lncRNA (ENSSSCG00050037278.1, ENSSSCG00055023465.1)". Lineage: Eukaryota; Metazoa; Chordata; Mammalia; Artiodactyla; Suidae. The record is from RNAcentral.
GCCCAGGCACCACCUGCCGCAUCCCCUUUGGAGCCCCCUUCGGUUCACUGUGUGCUGAGCCCCUGGAGAAUCGCCCACCGCGCAGGGAUAGUGAUUUUUAAAGAGCCUGUUGGUCUACCCGACAAGGUAGCAAUGGUCGCCUGCGUUUCCACACGGCAAGGGGCAGGGGGCGCUCCAACCCUGUGGAAAGGGCCUCCUGGGACUUUCUGAACGCUCCUUUUGGGGGCGCAGUGGGAGGGAUUUGCAGCCUGGGUCCUUCAAGGACAGGGUCGUAGGGCAGGGAGUGGGGUGUGCGUGUGAGGGGAGGUGGGUCCUUUUGCUUCUCCGGGCCUCAGUCUUUGUCCCUGUCCAGUGGGGUUACAUAGCUGCCCUGGUGGUUGGGGAGGGGAGUUCUGUCAUGGGUGUGAACAUGAGGGGCCUGGGCUCCCUUGGCUGUGACUGGACGUUGGCCCCUGAUCACUGAGAUAGCGACAGUCCUGCCCACUAGCGAGGUCUGCCAGCCCUGGGUGUGUGACUGCCAAGGGCAAGGCCAGAGCCUGGGUCCAGAGCUGGACUCAAGUGCAGUCUUCCUGGGAGCCCGGGACAGGGGAGCCAAAGAGGGCAUCCAGGCAGGAGCCAGGCGCUGCCCAUCCCCCACCCGGGCUUCGGGAGUCCGUCAAGGUCAGUCAGCUACCAGCUCCUUAACCUUGGAGUUCUGAAACCUCAUCUGUUUCCUCCCUUAGAAAAGGGGAGUAGGGUGCCCGCAGAGGCAGUGUUGGGUCCUCCGGGUCCUGCCUGAUUCCUCCUCUAACCCCGCCCUUCUCUUCUGGGAAUUCACAGACUCCAGAGGAUGCUGGGAUUGCCUGAGACUUGAUAAACGUGCAGAGGGCCAACCCAUGCUCUAGCUCCUCUGUCCCCGCAGCAGCCUUGCCCAGUUGGGAGGUCCCAGGCCCGGUCCUGGGGACGGCAGACAGCGCUUAGAGUCUUCAUGUGGGAGGCGAGGCUGGACCCCCACAGAACCUGCUGCCCACGUCUGUGCUGUGGAGUUUCCAUGUGCUCUGUCAGGAGAGAGGUUGAGAAACACCAGAUUCUGUCCUUUCGUCUUGUGGCAGGAUGGUGCUGCAUUGGCCCCACUGCACAGAUAAGAAAACUGAGGCUCCAAGCAAGAGGUGAGUGACUUGCCCAAGGUCACACUGUGCCCGGGUGGGCCUUUACCCCUGAUUCUGCCUUCUGGGGGUGGAUGGAGCUGGGGACGUGCAGUUGACAUCAGUGUGCAGCCUGCUCAGGAGUCCAGAUGUCCUCUUGGUACCACUCCAUGUGGCCUCACUGCAGGUAGACACACUUCAGGGCCCCCAGGGCUCUGGGUGUGGGGGAGGGGGAAUCUCCUGAACGCGCUGAUGGGCAGUUGAGGACAGGUCCAGGGAGGGCCCGGGCUUCUG